GACGAACGCUGGCGGCGUGCCUAAUACAUGCAAGUAGAACGCUGAAGGAGGAGCUUGCUCUUCUGGAUGAGUUGCGAACGGGUGAGUAACGCGUAGGUAAUCUGCCUGGUAGCGGGGGAUAACUAUUGGAAACGAUAGCUAAUACCGCAUAACAGUAGAUGUUGCAUGACAUUUACUUAAAAGGUUCAAUUGCAUCACUACCAGAUGGGCCUGCGUUGUAUUAGCUAGUUGGUGGGGUAACGGCUCACCAAGGCGACGAUGCAUAGCCGACCUGAGAGGGGGGUCGGCCACACUGGGACUGAGACACGGCCCAGACUCCUACGGGAGGGAGCCGUAGGGAAUCUUCGGCAAUGGACGGAAGUCUGACCGAGCAACGCCGCGUGAGUGAAGAAGGUUUUCGGGUCGUAAAGCUCUGUUGUAAGGGAAGAACGAGUGUGAGAGUGGAAAGUUCACACUGUGACGGUAACUUACCAGAAAGGGACGGCUAACUACGUG
This 495-nucleotide ribosomal RNA is filed under the name uncultured bacterium. RNAcentral's name for it is "partial 16S ribosomal RNA". It matches the Rfam family "Bacterial small subunit ribosomal RNA", at positions 28 to 507 of the family's 1533-position model. The record is from RNAcentral.